CAAACAUGGUGUAAAAUAUGAUAAAAUGAGGAAAGAGCAGAGAUUGGUUUGAUGCCAGGACUACAGCCUGCGUCUGAGGAUCAAAACCUGAUGAGGGACCACUUAACUACAAUGAGAUGCAAAAACACACUCUCACAUGCACGGACAUGACUUCACACACAAACAAAGGAAAUGUACACAAUGUACUGUGUAAGCUGUACAUCAGACACAGAAUGAAAUCAGGCACAUUAUGACACCGGGAUACAUGUCUACACAGAAAUGUAUAUACAUUUCUUUUGUGUGUGUGUG
Molecule: long non-coding RNA, 288 nt
Organism: Sebastes umbrosus (honeycomb rockfish)
Lineage: Eukaryota; Metazoa; Chordata; Actinopteri; Perciformes; Sebastidae
Exons: 3
Source: RefSeq, a predicted model, not a curated record